This 254-nucleotide ribosomal RNA is filed under the name uncultured bacterium. Its description in RNAcentral is "partial 16S ribosomal RNA". It matches the Rfam family "Bacterial small subunit ribosomal RNA", at positions 524 to 776 of the family's 1533-position model. The record is from RNAcentral.
UACAUAGGUGGCGAACGUUAUCCGGAAUUAUUGGGCGUAAAGGGUGCGUAGGUGGUUUAAUAAGUUACUGGUGGUAAAUCGGGGCUCAACCUCGUGGAAGUCAGUAAUACUAUUAGACUAGAGGACCGGAGGAGUUAACGGAAUGGCUCAUGUAGGGGUAAAAUCCGCAAAUAUGAGUUAGAACACCAAUUGGCGAAGGCAGUUAACUAUUCGGUUCCUGACGUUGAGGCACGAAAGCGUGGGGAGCGAACAGG